UGCGCUCCCGCCUGCGCUUCUCCAUCACUGCUCACCUUCCUCCUGGACCUCUGCCUGUGAGACUCGGGGGACAAUAAAACCUUCAUGUUUGUUCGUUGUUGAUCUGCAACUCUUCCGAGCCCGAACCUGACUGGCUGGGACACGUGUGGGUGGAGGUCCCACCACCUACCAGCAGGCCCCACCUCCGCCUCUCUGCGUCAGAAUGGCGCACAAGAUUUUAAAUGUUAGAAUUUAAUAAAUCCAUCAGUUUUUCUUAUUGCUUUUUCAGCUAAAUAUGGAUAUAAAAUGAUAAUAUGUUCUGUGGCAACGUUUAAAAGUAACACAAAUAGUUUUUGUGCGUUUUCAGGGUUUUUAAGCUGCUUUGGAAACAGCCCUACAUUUCCAUAUAUGGAGUGUGACGUCAUGACUGGUCCAGGUGAGACCAGACAGCAGCUCUUUUGUUUUAUUUCUCAUUUCUGUAAAGAAUCCUCGUGGCAGGAACAGCAGUGUUUGGACAGUGGAUUACUAUAAAAAUAAUUUCAUCAUAUUUCUGUUCGAAAACAAUUUACCAUAUAAAAUGUUAUGUAAAAAAUA
Molecule: long non-coding RNA, 573 nt
Organism: Austrofundulus limnaeus
Lineage: Eukaryota; Metazoa; Chordata; Actinopteri; Cyprinodontiformes; Rivulidae
Exons: 2
Source: RefSeq, a predicted model, not a curated record